CCUACGUGGUGCAGCAGUGAGGAAUAUUGGUCAAUGGGCGCGAGCCUGAACCAGCCAAGUAGCGUGAAGGAUGACUGCCCUACGGGUUGUAAACUUCUUUUAUAAAGGAAUAAAGUGAGGCACGUGUGCCUUUUUGUAUGUACUUUAUGAAUAAGGAUCGGCUAACUCCGUGCCAGCAGCCGCGGUAAUACGGAGGAUCCGAGCGUUAUACGGAUUUAUUGGGUUUAACGGGAGCGUAGAUGGGUUGUUAAGUCAGUUGUGAAAGUUUGCGGCUCAACCGUAAAAUUGCAAUUGAUACUGGCAGUCUUGAGUACAGUUGAGGUAGGCAGAAUUCGUGGUGUAGCGGUGAAAUGCUUAGAGAUGACGAAGAACUCCGAUUGCGAAGGCAGCUUACUAAACUGCCACUGACAUUGAUGCUCGAAAGUGUGGGUAUCAAACAGGAUUAGAUACCCUAGUAGUC
RNAcentral lists this ribosomal RNA (460 nucleotides) under uncultured bacterium. RNAcentral describes it as "partial 16S ribosomal RNA". It matches the Rfam family "Bacterial small subunit ribosomal RNA", at positions 338 to 795 of the family's 1533-position model. The record is from RNAcentral.